Molecule: long non-coding RNA, 248 nt
Organism: Fukomys damarensis (Damara mole-rat)
Lineage: Eukaryota; Metazoa; Chordata; Mammalia; Rodentia; Bathyergidae
Exons: 3
Source: RefSeq, a predicted model, not a curated record
CAGAGCCUGAAGGAGAAAGGGGUGGGAAGGGCUCCCCGGGCCUCCUGCUGAACUGAAGCAAUCCUGCAUCCUACCAAAGCAACCAACUGCAUAGAAGACGCUUUCUGGUGAUGAUGAUGAUGAUGAUGAUGAUGUGGUGAUCCAGGUGACAGGGGCACCAGAGGAGCAUCAGGCUGCAGGUGCCAGACAGGCACAGCGUCCCCCAACAGCCCUCAAGAGGCCUUCAGCUAUGAAAAUAAUACAGUGAC